CCUACGAGUGGCAGCAGUAGGGAAUGUUCGGCAAUGGGGGGAACCCUGACCGAGCAACGCCGCGUGAAGGAAGAAGGAAUUCGUUCUGUAAACUUCUGUUAUAAAGGAAGAAAGACGGUUGGAGGAAAUGACAUCCGAGUGACGGUACUUUAUGAGAAAGCCACGGCUAACUCCGUGCCAGCAGCCGCGGUAAUACGUAGGGGGCAAGCGUUAUUCGGAAUUAUUGGGCGUAAAGAAGGAGCAGGCGGCAGCAAAGGUAUGUGGUGAAAGACUGAAGCUAAACUUCAGUAAGCCAUAGAAACCGGGCAGCUAGAGUGCAGGAGAGGGUCGUGGAAUUCCAUGUGUAGCGGUGAAAUGCGUAGAUAUAUGGAGGAACACCGGUGGCGAAGGCGACGAUCUGGCCUGCAACUGACGCUCAGUCCCGAAAGCGUGGGGAGCAAAUAGGAUUAGAUACCCGGGUAGUC
Molecule: ribosomal RNA, 464 nt
Filed under: uncultured bacterium
Lineage: Bacteria
Description: partial 16S ribosomal RNA
Rfam family: Bacterial small subunit ribosomal RNA
Source: RNAcentral